RNAcentral lists this transfer RNA (77 nucleotides) under Alphaproteobacteria bacterium. RNAcentral's name for it is "tRNA-Arg". It matches the Rfam family "tRNA". Rfam says of the family: Transfer RNA (tRNA) molecules are approximately 80 nucleotides in length. Their secondary structure includes four short double-helical elements and three loops (D, anti-codon, and T loops). Lineage: Bacteria; Pseudomonadati; Pseudomonadota; Alphaproteobacteria. The record is from RNAcentral.
GCGCUCGUAGCUCAAUAGGAUAGAGCAUCUGACUUCUAAUCUGAAGGUUGCAGGUUCAAGUCCUGCCGAGCGCGCCA